RNAcentral lists this transfer RNA (76 nucleotides) under Beta vulgaris subsp. vulgaris (sugar beet). It matches the Rfam family "tRNA". Rfam says of the family: Transfer RNA (tRNA) molecules are approximately 80 nucleotides in length. Their secondary structure includes four short double-helical elements and three loops (D, anti-codon, and T loops). The record is from Rfam by way of RNAcentral. Lineage: Eukaryota; Viridiplantae; Streptophyta; Magnoliopsida; Caryophyllales; Amaranthaceae.
AGCCUGUUAGCUCAACUGGUAGAGUAUUGUGGUGUGCAAAUACACAAAAAUGUGGGUUCGACUCCCACACAGGCUC